Molecule: ribosomal RNA, 255 nt
Filed under: uncultured bacterium
Lineage: Bacteria
Description: partial 16S ribosomal RNA
Rfam family: Bacterial small subunit ribosomal RNA
Source: RNAcentral
CAAACUGGAGAUGGCGACCGGCGCACGGGUGAGUAACACGUAUCCAACCUGCCGAUAACUCGGGGAUAGCCUUUCGAAAGAAAGAUUAAUACCCGAUGGUAUAAUCAGACCGCAUGGUUUAAUUAUUAAAGAAUUUCGGUUAUCGAUGGGGAUGCGUUCCAUUAGGCAGUUGGUGAGGUAACGGCUCACCAAACCUUCGGUGGAUAGGGGUUCUGAGAGGAAGGUCCCCCACAUUGGAACUGAGACACGGUCCAA